AGUAAUGCGUGACCAACCUGCCCCAUGCUCCAGAAUAGCUCUUGGAAACGGGUGGUAAUGCUGGAUGCUCCAACUUGACGCAUGUCUUGUUGGGAAAGUGUUUAGUGGCAUGGGAUGGGGUCGCGUCCUAUCAGCUUGUAGGCGGGGUAAUGGCCCACCUAGGCUUCGACGGGUAGCCGGCCUGAGAGGGCGGACGGCCACAUUAGGGACUGAGAUACGGCCCAGACUCCUACGGGAGGCAGCAGCA
RNAcentral lists this ribosomal RNA (247 nucleotides) under uncultured Gardnerella sp. RNAcentral's name for it is "partial 16S ribosomal RNA". It matches the Rfam family "Bacterial small subunit ribosomal RNA", at positions 109 to 355 of the family's 1533-position model. The record is from RNAcentral. Lineage: Bacteria; Bacillati; Actinomycetota; Actinomycetes; Bifidobacteriales; Bifidobacteriaceae.